GGCCGCCGUGGCCGGGUGGUAACGCACGAAACUUUGAUUCAUGAGGUCGUCGGUUCAAGACCCACCGCGGUCG
Halocaridina rubra (Hawaiian volcano shrimp) is the source of this 73-nucleotide non-coding RNA. Lineage: Eukaryota; Metazoa; Arthropoda; Malacostraca; Decapoda; Atyidae. The record is from the annotation of a GenBank genome assembly.